GGGCCCGCACAAGCAGUGGAGUAUGUGGUUUAAUUCGAAGCAACGCGAAGAACCUUACCAGGUCUUGACAUCCCUUGCAUAGCCUAGAGAUAGGUGAAGUCUUCGGACAAGGAGACAGGUGGUGCAUGGUUGUCGUCAGCUCGUGUCGUGAGAUGUUGGGUUAAGUCCCGCAACGAGCGCAACCCUUGUAUUUAGUUGCUACAUUUAGUUGAGCACUCUAGAUAGACUGCCGUUGACAAAACGGAGGAAGGUGGGGAUGACGUCAAAUCAUCAUGCCCCUUAUGACCUGGGCUACACACGUACUACAAUGGCGAGUAAACAGAGGGCAGCAACACAGCGAUGUGAAGCGAAUCCCAAAAAUACGUCUCAGUUCGGAUUGCAGGCUGCAACCCGCCUGCAUGAAGUCGGAAUUGCUAGUAAUCGCGGAUCAGCAUGCCG
Molecule: ribosomal RNA, 438 nt
Filed under: uncultured Bacillota bacterium
Lineage: Bacteria; Bacillati; Bacillota
Description: bacterial SSU rRNA
Rfam family: Bacterial small subunit ribosomal RNA
Source: RNAcentral